Trichomycterus rosablanca is the source of this 381-nucleotide long non-coding RNA. RefSeq lists it as uncharacterized. The record is from RefSeq and is a predicted model, not a curated record. The transcript has 3 exons. Lineage: Eukaryota; Metazoa; Chordata; Actinopteri; Siluriformes; Trichomycteridae.
UGUUUUUGUAGCCUCAGAUAACUACAUAUUCUAAAUCAUUUCAUUCUAGGACUAUGCUGUAAAGGAGAAAAUUACAAGGAGGCCUGGAUCUGGGAAACUUAAAUCUACUAGUGAAUCAGAUGGGCCAUGCCGAUCCAUCUUAAGGCAGUCAGAGCUGCUAAAAUAAUGAAAUUAAAAAAAAAAGAUCUGUCUGCGUCAGUGCAUUAGUGCAGAUGAAGGUGGACAAACAUAUUUUUCCCAUGGAGGAGGUCCAAAAAGUGUACUUCACCAGCAAAUUCAAUGAUGUGGACAAGCUAGGAAAACAAGAGGUGUAAUUCAUUUCACAAUUCUCGCCCCACACACACACAAAGACAUAGGACACAUCCAAGCACCCAAUACUGC